This 780-nucleotide long non-coding RNA is filed under the name Cricetulus griseus (Chinese hamster). RNAcentral describes it as "lncRNA (ENSCGRG00015042306.1)". The record is from RNAcentral. Lineage: Eukaryota; Metazoa; Chordata; Mammalia; Rodentia; Cricetidae.
AAACAGGCCUGUGAAGGGAUCGAAAAGGGUGCUGCUGGCUCUGAAGCUCUGGCUGAGAGAGACCUGAGGCCCUGAACCCCUCCUCCACCCUUCCAGGUUACAGAGUGGGAAGUCUGGGCACUUCCUGGACCAUCCUCUCCGACCCAGAGGAGAGCUCGGCCAAUGCAAACCUUCAUCCACAGCAAGACCAUCUAAUGAUCGGCCACCCAGGCUACAGAAGAAGAUGGAAAAUCCCUACCACACUCCUGCAUCUGGGCUUCUCCUGGGGUGGUACCCAGCACUGUGCUGCUUUCUGGCCCCGAAUGCAUGAGGACGUGGAGGGACCCCAGAAAGAAAUGUGGAAAUGAGGACAGACAGACUUACCUUCUGGACCUGAAGAUGGUAGGACGAUAGGCUGAGGAUCUGAAGCUCAGGCCCAAGCAGCUGGGGUGAGGAACCCUUGGGAAGGCAGGCUGUGGGUGCAGUUCAGGAGGUCCAGCUGACCCAGGAUCACUCGGGCCUUGAGGACACCAAAGACCCCAGAACAGAAAGUAAGUUAGAGACGAUCCUGAGUCCAAGGCCCCUCUCAGACCACAGAUCUAUUUUGUCCAUGGGAGCGUGGGAAGCAGCUUGUUCCCUGAUGCCACCUCAUGUCCCCUUUCAGGAAGAAAUGGUUCUUGUCAGAGGAGGGCCUUCCCUAGGGGCUGGAGACCCUGCAGAGAAGGGCCCCAGAACAGCAUCGUUCUGUUUUGUUUGUUUGUGUCGAGACAGGGUUUCUCUGUGUCACCCUGGCUGUCCUGG